Molecule: long non-coding RNA, 1130 nt
Organism: Condylostylus longicornis
Lineage: Eukaryota; Metazoa; Arthropoda; Insecta; Diptera; Dolichopodidae
Exons: 4
Source: RefSeq, a predicted model, not a curated record
UAUUUGAUGUAUAAAAGAUAAACAAGUAAAAUGUGGUGUAGUGUUUUUGUUGAUUUAUUUUGUUUUAAAAAUUAGGAAAAAAAAUUAUGGGACAAAAAUUUCACAAAUAUUACAAAAUUAAUAUAAAUAAACACGAGAUCAACCACGAAAGAAGGACUGACUGCGCUGGACCAAAAUACCCAGGACUAAAGCGAUUGAAAACCUGCAACAUAUUCAACAGGAAAUGAUCUGUGCCUGUGACGUCACGACGGAACAUUUCCCCGACCUUGGCAUCUGUGGCUGAAGAUGACAAAACGAUGUGUUGAUGUUUUUCUAAAGUAAUUCAUGUUGUAAUGGUAAUCGGUUUUUAGGUUCUAACAUCUGUAAAUAGAGAACGUAAAAGGAUGGAAGGUUAUAGCGCCUGAGCUCGCUUUCCGGAAAUCCAGGAUGUGGAAUUGGGGAAGGAGAGGAAAAAAAAAAUAAAUUAAUAAUUGGAAAUUUUUGAUCAAAUCAAAAAACAUUAUUCAUUAAAAUUAAAUAUUAUUAGAUAUAUUUAAGUGUAGAUUCGAAAAUAUUGUAUUAGGUGCAUCUUCUAGUAUUAAGUGUAGAUUCGCAAAAUUUUGUAUUAGGUGUUCUCCUAGUAUUAAGUGUAGGUUCGCAAAUUUUGUAUUAGGUGUUCUCCUAGUAUUAAGUGUAGGCCCGCAAAUUUGAUAUAGUGUAGGUGCAUAAUUCUGAUAAAGUGUAGGUGUAUAAUUCUGACAUAGUGUAGGUACAUAAUUCUGAUAUAGUGUAGGUGUAUAAUUUCGAUAUAGCGUAGGUACAUAAUUUCAAUUAAGUGUAGGUGCAUAGUUUACGUUCGCGAAUUUUUUUUUUUUGCGUACGAUUAAUCAUUCUCGAUUGAUCAAUGCGAUGUUUCGGUUUCGUUCGCCCUUGAAUGUAUUGGUAGUAAGCAAAUCUUCACUAUUGAACGUUUUAGUGCCCCAUUCUUCGUCUUGAUGGUAACUACUCGAACUAGUCCAUCUGGACCGGGGUGAGUCUCGAUGAUGCGACCCAUCAGCCAUCUGCUUGGUGGUAAAUUUUCAUCUUUUAGGAGGACCAAGUCUCCCAAUUGCAUGUUGUCAUGCCUUUUAGUCCAUUUUGGAUGUUGUUGU